RNAcentral lists this transfer RNA (96 nucleotides) under Lentinula raphanica. RNAcentral describes it as "tRNA-Arg". It matches the Rfam family "tRNA". Rfam says of the family: Transfer RNA (tRNA) molecules are approximately 80 nucleotides in length. Their secondary structure includes four short double-helical elements and three loops (D, anti-codon, and T loops). The record is from RNAcentral. Lineage: Eukaryota; Fungi; Basidiomycota; Agaricomycetes; Agaricales; Omphalotaceae.
GGCCGCCUGGCGAAAUGGCAUCGCGUCUGACUACGAAAAGGCGUUGAAAGAAUGCUCAUAAUCAGGAGAUUGCAGGUUCGACCCCUGCGGUGGUCA